AGCAGAAGAAGGUUGAAGAGUAACGUUAUUAAGACGCUCAAGCGUCAAGAUAAGAGCUUGGGUACCCAAAUUGCCCUCCCCGUGAGCCUUGAGUGAGAGAUAGAGCUGCUGAGCGAGUGCCAAACCAGGAAGAGAAAGCCCCAUUUUUUGACACUCAAUCAAACAUAUCCCCAAAUCCUUAACAAAGUGAUUCACAAAGAAACCAGCCUCGAAAUCCCUCUUCAAAAUCCUACUCCCAUACAAAUCCAACGACUUUGAGCCGGCAGCGCCGGUGGAAAUUGCGUUCAAAAACAAAGCCACAUCGAGACCAGACUUGUAAGCAUACAUCAUCCCUUCUAUCAGUCCAAGCAUAGUCGAAGCUAUGAUGAUUUGGUUCGCGAGCUUCGCGUAUUGCCCUUUUCCAGGGCCACCCAUGUAGUUAACCUUGCCCAGAUGGGAAAAUAAGGGGUUCAGGCGCCUGACGACGGACUCGUCCCCGCCGGCGAAGAUAGCAAGGGUGGCGUUCUUGGCGCCCCGGUCUCCGCCGGAGACGGGGGCGUCAACGGAGAAGCAGCCCCUGGAGGCAGCAGAGGAGGCGAUUUCGGCUGCGAGUGAAGGAUCAGAGGUGGUCAUGUCGACGAGGACUCCACCGGGGCGGAGUCCGGAGAGGGCGCCGGAGGAGGGGUCGAGGAGGACGGAGCGGACGUCGGAGGGGAAGCCGACAAUCGAGAAAACGACGUCGGAUUGGGAGGCGAGAGCGAGAGGAGAGGAGGCGUGGUGAGCCCCCAUGUCGAGGAGGGGUUGUGCCUUGGAGAUGGUGCGGUUGAAGAUAGUUACAGUAUAACCCGCUUUCAUCAGAUGAGCGCACAUCGACCGCCCCAUCACGCCGGUUCCAAUCCAGCCGACGCGGGU
This 891-nucleotide long non-coding RNA is filed under the name Vitis vinifera (wine grape). RNAcentral describes it as "long non-coding RNA (VVIN_LNC003390)". The record is from RNAcentral. Lineage: Eukaryota; Viridiplantae; Streptophyta; Magnoliopsida; Vitales; Vitaceae.